AUGAACCACUCGGCUCCUGUGGAAGUCACAUACAAGAACAUGAGAUUUCUUAUUACAUGUAAUCCAACCAAUGUGACGUGAAACAAAUUUAUAGAGGAACUUCAGAAGUAUGGAGUUACCACAAGAGUGAAGCAACUUAUGGCACUAGUCUUACGGAGAAAGAAGGUAUCCAUGUUUUUGACUGGCCUUUUGAUGAUGGUGCACCACCAUCCAACCAGAUUGUUAAUAACUGACUGGUUAAGUUUUGUAAAAAUUAAGUUUUGUGAAGAACCCGGUUUUUGUAUUGCUGUUCAUUGCAUUUCAGGCCUUAGGGUAGCUCUAGUACUUGUUGCCCUAGCAUUAAUUGAAGGUGGAAUGAAAGAUGAAGAUGCAGCAUAAUUCACAAGACAAAAGUGGCAUGGAGCUUUUAACAGCAAGCAACUUUUGUAUUUGGAGAAGUAUCACCCGAAAAUGUGGCUGCGCUUCAAAGAGUCCAACAGUCAUAGAAACAACUGCUGCAUUCAAUAAAACUGGGGCGUCUAAUGCUACUGGAAGUGAAACUUGAGAUAGGACCCAAUUUGUUAUACAUAUUAGCCAACAUGUUGGCUUAUGAGUAUGUCUAAUGAAGCUUCCAUAGGAGUAUUGAAAGGCAGUUUUAUCAGGUCACAAGAUAGACAGAUUUGGCAACCUUUGUGUUUGGGUUACAUUCAACCUAUUUGGACACUUGGCAAAAGAUUCUUACUGUCAACAUAUAAAAUGUGCUUGUCAUUUGUACCAGUUGACCUUUCCCAAAAUCAGGCAGUAUUGAGUUAUGACUUGUUUUAAUCUAUUCCCACACCAAGAAUCUUAUGAAUACACAGAAAUUUAGUAAGAUUAGGUGCCAAAAUACCCAGCACAAUACUUGCAAACUUUUAGUACCAUACAGAACUAAAAUCCUAGGAACUAGGAAUACUCUAGACCUUAUGUGGUUUAUUCCUUCAAUCACUUCAAACAUUGAAUAUAGGGUGGCCAG
Sapajus apella (tufted capuchin) is the source of this 991-nucleotide RNA transcript. It is a transcript of the gene named protein tyrosine phosphatase type IVA 1 pseudogene, with no coding region annotated. The transcript has a single exon. The record is from RefSeq and is a predicted model, not a curated record. Lineage: Eukaryota; Metazoa; Chordata; Mammalia; Primates; Cebidae.